Molecule: non-coding RNA, 215 nt
Filed under: uncultured Anaerobutyricum sp.
Lineage: Bacteria; Bacillati; Bacillota; Clostridia; Lachnospirales; Lachnospiraceae
Source: RNAcentral
AACCCCGUCCGGAAAGGUAAGAGCCAUACCACCGGCAGCGAACUCUGUGCAGCUGGCGGCAACGCCAGGUGUAAAGCGUGGGAAGUGAGGCUGUAGGGAUAGUAUUGAGCACCGAAACCGAGCAAAUCCAUGGGCCGACGUAUUCGAGUCUACGGAAGGCAGCACGGGAAAAGGCGAUAAGGCAAGUCUGACCUGCCAUGGCGGUGUCUAAGACC